This 1264-nucleotide long non-coding RNA is filed under the name Ananas comosus (pineapple). Its description in RNAcentral is "long non-coding RNA (ACOM_LNC024324)". The record is from RNAcentral. Lineage: Eukaryota; Viridiplantae; Streptophyta; Magnoliopsida; Poales; Bromeliaceae.
AACCAUAUGCAAUCAAUAAGGUAAAGAUAAUGAACGGUAAGCAAAGGUACAUGAUGUUAAGGAUUUUAUAGGUUGGCGAAUUUCGUAAAGUUGUUUGGAGUCUUGAAGAGUUGAUUGCAGAAGAUUUUGAGAAAAGAUUCAAAUUGGAGGACAAAGACUCAUUCGGAAAGAUCGACACCUAAGGUAUGUAGAAAAGAUCAUUUGUGGUGAAGAUACAUGUUUAAAAUAAGUUCAGAAGGCUUAGAUUGUUUUUAAACAAAUUUUCUGAACUUUCUUGUGUUCUGGGACCGGUCUCUGAAAUGGAGAGACCGGUUCCCCCAAGGUCCUCACUGCGUAAACCUUGAUGCAACCGGUCCCCUGUGAUGAGAGACCGGUUCCCGAACCUUGGUGGUUCUGUCGCGCAGCGAGGGACCGGUCUCAAGUUUGAGAGACCGGUUCCCGAACGUGGGGUUUUUGGUCACGCAGGGAGGGACCGGUUCCUCACUUGAGAGACCGGUCUCUCACAGACCGGUCUCCUCGACAGGACCGGUCUCUGAGGACGACACAGGUUUUUGAAAUCGACUUUUUGCAAUCCUAGUCUACUUCUAAGUCUUCUAAACAUAUAAAUAAGCUAUGUGGGUCAUCUAAAAUUAAGGCUUUGAAUAUUUUACCAAUUCCAAACCCUAGAAACUCGUUUUCUUCCCGUUUCAAUGCUUCGAUUUACAUGAUGAGUUUCUAGCAAUCAACAUCGGCUUGAUUCUUCGUUUUUACUCGAUACUUCUUACGAGAAUCAAGUAGAUGAUUGAUUAAAGGUGAACCCUCAUAGCUUAUGGUUUUCAAAAGUUAAAUCACCGCAAAUCUUCAAUUCUACAAGCUCCGGAAGGAGGUUCGGCGCGUGGAUCUCGCGUGAAGCCGAGGAUUCGGUGGACGCUUCGAGGAGUUGAGGCGUUGACGCUGCGAGGAGUUGCAGCAAGGUCGAUUGGUGGAUUCCUAUCGAUCGAGGACCGGCAAAGAUCACCGUCAACAAGAAAUCGGUAAAUUGAGUCGCGUGUUUUUGGUCGAAAUCACUUGUACUCAAGUUUUCUUAGUGGAUUUUCUUUGCGUGAUCGGUCCCGUGGGUUUUUCACUCCGAAUUGGAGUUUUCCCACGUUAAAUUCUCGGUGUGCUAUUUUAAUUUCCGCUAUUGUGUUUGUUUGCAUCGAGAUUUUUCGAGUUUGCCGGAUUUACACCUAUUCACCCCCCUCUAGGUGUUACUUACCUUUUAGAUCCUCGGGAUCAAUAACUU